RNAcentral lists this ribosomal RNA (501 nucleotides) under marine sediment bacterium ISA-7145. RNAcentral describes it as "bacterial SSU rRNA". It matches the Rfam family "Bacterial small subunit ribosomal RNA", at positions 39 to 540 of the family's 1533-position model. The record is from RNAcentral.
GCGGCAGGCCUAAUACAUGCAAGUCGAACGGUAGAUUACUUUCGGGUAAUUGAGAGUGGCGCACGGGUGCGUAACGCGUAUGCAACCUACCCUAUACAGGGGGAUAGCCCGGAGAAAUCUGGAUUAAUACCCCAUAGUACUAUGAUGAGGCAUUUUGUUAUAGUUAAAGAUUCAUCGGUAUAGGAUGGGCAUGCGUCUGAUUAGCUAGUUGGCGGUGUAACGGACCACCAAGGCGACGAUCAGUAGGGGUUCUGAGAGGAAGGUCCCCCACACUGGCACUGAGAUACGGGCCAGACUCCUACGGGAGGCAGCAGUAGGGAAUAUUGGGCAAUGGACGAGAGUCUGACCCAGCCAUGCCGCGUGCAGGAAGACGGCGUUCUGCGUUGUAAACUGCUUUUAUCUGGGAAGAAAAGGCCCAUGCGUGGGACAUUGCCGGUACCAGAUGAAUAAGCACCGGCUAACUCCGUGCCAGCAGCCGCGGUAAUACGGAGGGUGCAAGCG